Molecule: ribosomal RNA, 254 nt
Filed under: uncultured bacterium
Lineage: Bacteria
Description: partial 16S ribosomal RNA
Rfam family: Bacterial small subunit ribosomal RNA
Source: RNAcentral
UACGGGGGGAGCAAGCGUUGUUCGGAUUUACUGGGCGUAAAGGGCGCGUAGGCGGCCACCGCAAGUCGACUGUGAAAUCUCCGGGCUUAACCCGGAAAGGUCAGCCGAUACUGCGGGGCUAGAGUGCAGAAGGGGCAACUGGAAUUCUCGGUGUAGCGGUGAAAUGCGUAGAUAUCGAGAGGAACACCUGCGGCGAAGGCGGGUUGCUGGGCUGACACUGACGCCGAUGCGCGAAAGCUAGGGGAGCGAACGGG